RNAcentral lists this ribosomal RNA (258 nucleotides) under uncultured bacterium. RNAcentral describes it as "partial 16S ribosomal RNA". It matches the Rfam family "Bacterial small subunit ribosomal RNA", at positions 524 to 776 of the family's 1533-position model. The record is from RNAcentral.
GACGAACCGUGCGAACGUUAUUCGGAAUCACUGGGCUUAAAGCGCGUGUAGGCGGGUGGGCGCGUCGGCCGCUGAAAUCCCCCCGGCUCAACCGGGGAAGUGGCGCCGAAACGGCCCCGCCUGGAGGAACGUAGGGGGGAGCUGGAAACUUCCGGUGGAGCGGUGAAAUGCGUUGAGAUCGGAAGGAACGCCCGUGGCGAAGGCGGCUUUCUGGUCUGUAACUGACGCUGAGGCGCGAAAGCGUGGGGAGCAAACAGG